GAGGAGGAGGAGGAGGAGGAGGAGGAGGAGGAGGAGUCCGGCCUGAUCCUCUCACCCAAGAGCAGGAGGAGGAGGAGGAGGAGGAGGAGGAAGAGGAGGAGGAGGAGGAGGAGGAGGAGGAGGAGUCCGGCCUGAUCCUCUCACCCUAGAGCAGGAGGAGGAGGAGGAGGAGUCCGGCCUGAUCCUCUCACCCUAGAGCAGGAGGAGGAGGAGGAGGAGUCCGGCCUGAUCCUCUCACCCUAGAGCAGGAGGAGGAGGAGGAGGAGGAGGAGGAGUCCGGCCUGAUCCUCUCACCCUAGAGCACCCGGCCCUCCUGCUCUAGGGCGUGAGGAGCAGUGAGGAGGUGGAGGCAUCCGGAGUGAGGAGCAGGGAGGAGGAGGAGGAGGCGUCCAGCGUAAGGAGCAGUGAAGAGGAGGAGGAGGAGGCGUCCAGCGUGAGGAGCAGUGAAGAGGAGGAGGAGGAGGCGUCCAGCGUUAGGAGCAGUGAAGAGGAGGAGGAGGAGGCGUCCAGCGUGAGGAGCAGUGAAGAGGAGGAGGCGUCCGGCUUGAGGGGCAGGCAGGCGGCACAUGGUGUUAGGAGACGCCUCGGAGAGGUGUUUGAUAUUUUGUUGCUUGUGGUUGCCAGGGAAACAGGAGGAGCCAGAGGAAGUGUGAGAUGUUCUUUCCUGCUUCCUGUCGUGUGUCGCCCUCAUCUGAACUCUGACGUCAGUGUGACUGACUCCCCCCCCCCCCCCCCCCCACCCCCCCCCCAUGUUGAUGAAACAAAUACAAACGAUUGUAUUGAUCUGGGAUCAGUAGAAGGGAAGGAAUGUAUUGCACGUCCUGGUUGUUGAAAUGUGAACGGUUUUGUCUGUUGGGAAGCUGAACUGAGAUCGGUCUCAACAUUUGUUUUAUGCAAUCGGCUCAUCGGAGUGUUUCAUCCAGUACCUGAAUGUAUGGCUUUCCUGAGAUGGCUUCUGUUCUGUUGGGCUUAUCUUUGGUAUUUGCUGUGACCCACUGUUACUACGUCACACAGCCAUUCCACGGUCGGUCGUGUUCCCCUAAAGCGAGCAUGUUUAUGAAGUACAUGCAAUGGUUUGUUACUAUUCUACAGAAAAUUUCUUCAACUAAUAUAGUGAUGACUUAGCUUUUGCCAAGGGCAACUAAAUUAAGAUUUGUGAUAUUCAAGCUAUUGUAUCAGUGAAGUUUAACUUUAUAUUUUGUUAUUUAUUAUUUUUAUAUAAUUUUCUUGCAUUUUCAAGGUAUUUUAAGGUAUCUAUAUUUGAAAUUAUUCUAAAGUUAUAUGGGUAACAUUUACCUACUAGUACAGUCAUAGGCUAUUCAGUGUGGGAAGAGAAACAUUCACUAACUAGCGAUAGGGGUCAUUCCUUGGUGCCAUUUGUAAUUGUCCCAAAAAGUAUGAGGCAAAAUUAGAGGUGCCAAAGAGGUUUCUUCUUCCAAAUAUAUCACACGUAAUUUUCAAUUAUCCAACUUAAAGCUUGAUUUCAAUUAUGUUGACAUAUCAGACAUGUACCGGAACUAAUUAACUUUGGCUUUAUUUACGACAUUGAUGGUUAUUCGUUGCAAAGUAUGAUACUAAAUACUUAUUUAUAUUCAAGAUAGGAAUAAUGCACAUCAGGCAUUGGGAGAUGGACAAAGGCUUAUUUAAAUGUGGAGGAGACACUUAAACUGCCAGAAAUGUAUUUUUUACAACAGAAAAGCCAAACAGGAAAUUCAAGAGAUACUGUUAUUGAAUGUGUUCAUUUACUGCAGUAUGAAGUGGAACCAGAGGUUAAUCGUGUUGCCAUUUUUCAUAUUAUGUAACACUUUUCUUUUUUAUAUAAAUAAGCUGGAGACUAAUUAUUGCCUGUGAACUCUGAUUGAGAGUUUGCGAUACAAUUUUUGCAUGGCUUUAUUUUUCUUGUAUGUAUUAUGGUUUGUUCAACUACUGACUGUAUCGUCUUAAAUGUUCAUUUGUUUUAUGCGAGUGUGGUUUAAGUUUGAGCCUUUAACAACCAAAACCCCACACUGCAAAAAAUAAAGUACAAAUAUUUAAUUUUC
This is a long non-coding RNA of Gadus macrocephalus (Pacific cod), 2039 nucleotides long. RefSeq lists it as uncharacterized. The transcript is spliced from 2 exons. The record is from RefSeq and is a predicted model, not a curated record. NCBI's taxonomy places the organism in Eukaryota, Metazoa, Chordata, Actinopteri, Gadiformes, Gadidae.